Non-coding RNA from Musa acuminata subsp. malaccensis (wild Malaysian banana), 1096 nucleotides. The record is from RefSeq and is a predicted model, not a curated record. Lineage: Eukaryota; Viridiplantae; Streptophyta; Magnoliopsida; Zingiberales; Musaceae.
UCCAUCAUGAGUCCCACACCUUGGCCAACUAUGGUAAGGGUUGGAUCAGACCUUUAGAGCCAAGAUCAAUCAUAGCAAUGCCCUGCACGACAUCAAUUGAUUCCUACUUCAUUUGGAUGGUUGUUGGUUGAUUUUGGAUGCUCACAAGGUUAUUUUAUAGGCUAAAAAAGGAUACUUAGAUCAAGUGGGAGAAGAGGCAAGCAUGUUUCAUAAAUUAGAAUGGUAUUUUUUUUGGAAAUCUUAAGGUUUAUUAGAAAGGAAAGAAGGCCGCUAUGAUAAUUUAUUAGAAAGAAAAGAAGGCCUCUACGAUAAUCUUGUACUGCUCAAGGGUUAUUCAAAAUAAAUACUAUCAGUCAAUAUACCUUUUCUAACUAGAAUAAGAAAUAUAUUAGACUUUUAAAUUUUUUUAUUUUUUGAGCUGAUUUUGUGGUCAUGAUUAGUAGUUAGUUUAGGGAGUCUUUAGUUCAUGUGAGUCCCAAAAUUCAUCUAGCAUGGUUAGACAAGUUAUUUUACAAUUGUGAUUCACGUUGAGAGUACUAGAACCUUCUUUUGGUAGCUUUUUGUGGGGUGACAACAUUAACAUAGAUAUUAGAGCAUGUGUCUUCCACAACUUUUCUUCUUAUUAUUAUUCUAAGAUCGGGGUUUUCUUAUAUAGGAUCAGCUUGUGCCUAUUUCAUUAUUUAUGUUUGGAUGACCACAUCAACAACACACUUUUUUUUGACUUGUAGGUUCUGCUAAAAUCUUUGAUUUCAGCUUUAUAUUCACCGCUCUACUCUCAACUGUAGCUUUUGGCCUUUUGCAUCCUCUAUAUGAACUUUUGCUGAAUUUCUUUGUGAAUCUUUAAUUGAUGAUUUAAAAAAAAAAAAUCAGUUAUUUAGAACAUAUAUGUGAACCUUAACUGCUACAAACUCAUUAGUAAUUGUCUUUAUACAUCAAGAGCUAUCAAGUUUCAUGAUUCUAGACCUGCCUCUGGUUGUUUAGAUUGCUAAAGGUGGCACUACAUUGGAGUUCAAUUAAGGUGGACCAAUCAGUUUAAGCUCCUUUCAAGUUAGAUCGUCGACCGAUGCGUGGAAGCUGGAACCAAGCAUACUGCCAA